This 393-nucleotide ribosomal RNA is filed under the name uncultured bacterium. RNAcentral's name for it is "partial 16S ribosomal RNA". It matches the Rfam family "Bacterial small subunit ribosomal RNA", at positions 523 to 918 of the family's 1533-position model. The record is from RNAcentral.
AUACGGAAGGUCCGGGCGUUAUCCGGAUUUAUUGGGUUUAAAGGGAGCGCAGGCGGAGAUGCAAGCGUGACGUCAAAUUUCGGGGCUCAACCCCGUCUCGCGUCGCGAACUGCGUCCCUUGGUUGCGGGAAGGGGAGGCGGAACUCGUGGUGUAGCGGGGCAACGCAUAGAUAUCACGAAGAACUCCGAUCGCGAAGGCAGCCUUCCGGCCCGUCAACGACGCUCAUGCUCGAAGGUGCGGGUAUCAAACAGGAUUAGAUACCCUGGUAGUCCGCACAGUAAACGAUGGACACCCGCGGUUUGGCCUAUAUGGCUGAGCCGCCAAGCGAAAGCGUUAAGUGUCCCACCUGGGGAGUACGCCGGCAACGGUGAAACUCAAAGGAAUUGACGGGG